Molecule: long non-coding RNA, 660 nt
Filed under: Equus caballus (horse)
Lineage: Eukaryota; Metazoa; Chordata; Mammalia; Perissodactyla; Equidae
Description: lncRNA (ENSECAG00000045342.1)
Source: RNAcentral
UAUAGCUCAAAAAAGUGAUUAUGAAAAAAUCAAUGUAAUUCAUCAUAUUCAGAAAAUAAAGGAGUAAAGCCAAGUGAUUAUCUCAAUAGCUGUGGACAAAUUAAUUGACGAAAUUUAAUGUUCCUUCCAAAAAAAUCUUUUAACAAAGUGGAAAUUAGAGGGAAUUUCUUUUAUGUGGUAAUGUGCACAUCAAAAACAAAACUUCAGUUAGCGGCACACUGAACACUUUUCUCCGAAGAUCAGGAACUGGAAAAUGAUGUCCAUUGUCUGUACAUGUACUCCACAUUUUACUGGAGCUGGGCUGCUCCUCUGACUCUGAGCAGGUUCUUCCCUCCGGUGACCCCGGGGAAGUAGCUGCAGGAUGCUUGGACACUGAUCGCAGAAGCUACUGUCCCCGGGCCAGGCGCUGCAGGGUCGAGCAGCCGCAGACCCAAAGAGUCCCUACAUUGUGGGGGGCACAUAUGAGGAAAGUGAUACCAGAAGUAGGAGAGGACGCUAGCAAGGAGAGCAACUCCUUGAACCAAAACAGAGGGAGAUGUGGAAGGAGUCCCACAUGUGCCUGAGGGGCAUUUUCUCUGAGGUGAGCCAAGGGUUGGCACCUUUAUCUUCACAUUGAGCUGGUGUGUGCAAGCAAAAAGUGUUGUGAAACCUCAUUUUCCA